Molecule: long non-coding RNA, 776 nt
Filed under: Brassica napus (rape)
Lineage: Eukaryota; Viridiplantae; Streptophyta; Magnoliopsida; Brassicales; Brassicaceae
Description: long non-coding RNA (BNAP_LNC015592)
Source: RNAcentral
GUCUUUUCCUUUCACCUUUUGUAAUCCCCUUUCUACUCUUCACGAUGACCCUGACCUCAUAAACUCUGACUCCAACCACGUAAACACCAGCCACCUAUUCUCUAUAUUGACGACACUAUACACAUGACCACUAACACUCACCUUUCUGACCUAACCCAUCGCAAAUCCCCCCUUCCCGUUACGGUUGAUGUUUGUUAACACAACAGACGACAUCCACUCGAUAAUUCCACGAUUUUCGGUAACACAUAUACCUUAAAUCCCCUUAUCUCCUUAAAGCUUUAUGGUCUUCGACAGGUCUUGAAGCUCCAUUCUCUCUAUUGCGAUUCCGAUCAGACGAAGAGAUAACGAACUAUUAUACUCAACACAUACCGCAAAUCGGAAUGAAGGUCUGGUUUUCUCGCUGACCGCACCACACCUAGCCACACAUAUGAAAACUGAUCUUCAUCUUCCUACUCUCCACAAAACCCCUGACCACAUGAACUUUGGUCUAACCACAUAAACACUGAUCUUCAUCUUUCUACUCUCUACAAAGCCCCUCACCAUAUGAACUAUGCCAACCACAUGAACAUUGACAGUGACCUUUCUACCAACCACAUGAAUACUGGCCCUAAUCACUUUCUUUCCACGAAGACUAUGACCAUGUAGCUUCCGACCCUAGCCAAAAAUAAAGGGAGAGACCGAGCAUUUAAUUCACGUCUACGUCUCCACUUUUCUUAGAUGUGUCUUAAUUAAAUAACAACCCUCAAAUCAAUUUUACUAACAAGCAAUCCAAUAGU